This 441-nucleotide ribosomal RNA is filed under the name uncultured bacterium. RNAcentral's name for it is "bacterial SSU rRNA". It matches the Rfam family "Bacterial small subunit ribosomal RNA", at positions 958 to 1398 of the family's 1533-position model. The record is from RNAcentral.
AACGCGAAGAACCUUACCUGGGCUCGAAAUGUAGUGGACCGGGGUGGAAACAUCCCUUCCCCGCAAGGGGCUGCUAUAUAGGUGCUGCAUGGCUGUCGUCAGCUCGUGUCGUGAGAUGUUGGGUUAAGUCCCGCAACGAGCGCAACCCUCGUCCUCUGUUGCUAACAGGUUAGGCUGAGCACUCUGAGGAAACUGCCGGUGAUAAGCCGGAGGAAGGUGGGGAUGACGUCAAGUCCUCAUGGCCCUUACAUCCUGGGCUACACACGUGUUACAAUGGCGGUGACAAUGGGUCGCGAUCGCGCAAGCGCUAGCUAAUCCCAAAAAGCCGCCUCAGUUCGGAUUGUACUCUGCAACUCGAGUGCAUGAAGCUGGAAUCGCUAGUAAUCGCGGAUCAGCACGCCGCGGUGAAUACGUUCCCGGGCCUUGUACACACCGGUACUA